UGAAUACGAGACGCUAAGGCGUCGAAGUAGUGUAUGUCAUACUUCCAAGAAAAGCUUGCACUGUCAUAGAUAAAAAACGCCUGUACCAUAACCGACACAGGUGGGUAGGUAGAGUAUACUAAGGGGCGCGAGAUAACUCUCUCUAAGGAACUCGGCAAAAUAACUCCGUAACUUCUGGAGAAGGAGUGCCUUAUUCGUAAGGUUGCAAUAACAAGAUCCAAGCAACUGUUUAUCAAAAACACAGGUCUCCGCUAAGUCGUAAGACGAUGUAUGGGGGCUGACGCCUGCCCAGUGCCAGAAGGUUAAAGAAGUUGGUUAGCAAUUGCGAAGCUGAUAACUGAAGCCCUGGUGAACGGCGGCCGUAACAAUAACGGUCCUAAGGUAGCGAAAUUCCUUGUCGGGUAAGUUCCGACCCGCACGAAAGGCGUAAUGAUUUGGAUACUGUCUCGGAGAGGGGCUCGGUGAAAUAGACUUGUCUGUGAAGAUGCGGACUACCUGCACCAGGACAGAAAGACCCUAUGAAGCUUUACUGUAACUUGAAAUUGAAAUUGGACUUUAUUCGCGCAGUAUAGGUGGGAGGCGUUGAUUAUAAUCUUGUGGGAUUAUUGGAGCCAUCAGUGAGAUACCACUCUUGUAAUGUUAGAUUUCUAACUUUGAAUCAUUAUCUGGUCAAUGAACAGUUUCAGGCGGGCAGUUUGACUGGGGCGGUCGCCUCCUAAACGGUAACGGAGGCGUACAAAGGUUUCCUCUGAACGGUUAGAAAUCGUAUCUAGAGUGUAAAGGCAUAAGGAAGCUUGACUGUGAGACCUACAAGUCGAGCAGGGACGAAAGUCGGUCUUAGUGAUCUGACGGUACUGAGUGGAAAGGCCGUCACUCAACGGAUAAAAGUUACUCUAAGGAUAACAGGCUGAUCUCCCCCAAGAGUUCACAUCGACGGGGAGGUUUGGCACCUCGAUGUCGGCUCAUCGCAUCCUGGGGCGGUAGUACGUCCCAAGGGUUGGGCUGUUCGCCCAUGAAAGCGGUACGCGAGCUGGGUUCAGAACGUCGUGAGACAGUUCGGUCCAUAUCCGGUGUAGGCGUUAGAAUAUUGAGAGGAGCCUUCUUUAGUACGAGAGGACCGAGAAGGACAUACCUCUGGUGUACCAGUUAUCGUGCCAACGGUAAACGCUGGGUAGCUAUGUAUGGAGUGGAUAACCGCUGAAAGCAUCUAAGUGGGAAGCCCACCUCAAGAUAAG
RNAcentral lists this ribosomal RNA (1235 nucleotides) under metagenome. RNAcentral's name for it is "bacterial LSU rRNA". It matches the Rfam family "Bacterial large subunit ribosomal RNA", at positions 1564 to 2808 of the family's 2925-position model. The record is from RNAcentral.